This 433-nucleotide ribosomal RNA is filed under the name uncultured bacterium. Its description in RNAcentral is "partial 16S ribosomal RNA". It matches the Rfam family "Bacterial small subunit ribosomal RNA", at positions 29 to 506 of the family's 1533-position model. The record is from RNAcentral.
AGCGAACGCUGGCGGCAGGCCUAACACAUGCAAGUCGAACGAACCUUUCGGGGUUAGUGGCGGACGGGUGAGUAACAUGUGGGAACGUGCCUUUAGGUUCGGAAUAACUCAGGGAAACUUGUGCUAAUACCGAAUGUGCCCUUCGGGGGAAAGAUUUAUCGCCUUUAGAGCGGCCCGCGUCUGAUUAGCUAGUUGGUUGAGGUAACGGCUCACCAAGGCGACGAUCAGUAGCUGGUCUGAGAGGAUGAUCAGCCACAUUGGGACUGAGACACGGCCCAAACUCCUACGGGAGGCAGCAGUGGGGAAUCUUGCGCAAUGGGCGAAAGCCUGACGCAGCCAUGCCGCGUGAAUGAUGAAGGUCUUAGGAUUGUAAAAUUCUUUCACCGGGGACGAUAAUGACGGUACCCGGAGAAGAAGCCCCGGCUAACUUCGU